GCAUCAUGCAUGUAACACAGCAGCACACGAGAAGCAGCUACUACAUGUCUCAUCGUUGUUACGACAGGAUCCUGGAUUUACAGAGGAGAGAUGGAUGGAGGGAAGACGGAGGACAAAAUGAAGCUCGGGUCACGCUGAUGUGUUGCUAACACUCCGUGCUGCUCGCCGUGGAGGCUCUGACUUUAAACAGCAGCAGAAGGAACAACCCUUUUCAGAGAUAUGUGCCACAAAUGACUUCAGUCACUUUUAAAUGAAUGUCCCUCACAUUUUAUACAGACACGAAGGUGACGGAGAGGCACAGCAGCAGCAGUGGAUGGACACAGCUGAAAAUCUCCUGCAGAAACACCGUCUGACUUCACGGAGGACACGUCUCUCCAUCAGUGCAGGAGAAGCUGCACGCAUGACGGCGUUCAUAUCGAGCAGUGUUGCUCCACCACCAGAGAGCAGAAGCUGAAACAGUUUCUUCAUCGUGCUCGGAUUUAGCUGGUUAUCGCAGGACUCGCUGCCAGCUAACCUGACGAGCGGUUACCUGCGAGUGUGGAGGUGUGUGUGACCUGAUGGUUGCCAGUUCAGAUCCCAGAGGACGAGCUGAUGUGACUUCUGGCUGCGUGGCCCAGGACUUCGUCCGGCUGUGGGACAAACGAUCAUUCAGAGAUCUGAACCAGAGGAUGAAGGACGAUGAUGUGAAGAUGCAGUUUUAGUGUGUUUUAGUUAAAUCCAGAUUUCAUACUCACCUGUCCUCUCAGUGACUUCCUGUUCUUGUGUGUUUGGUGUUUUCAGCCGUGUGAUUGGCUCUUCAGCUGAUGCUCCUUCGUCUCCUCUUACCUCAGGAGGCUCUGUGAGGAGGAGGAGUAUCCUUCAUCUUUUCAGCUUUUGUGACAUAUAAAGGGUUUAUCCUGUAUCAUGAGUGGAAUUUGAAUUAAACAUCUACUCACCUUCUACUUCAUCAGAUCCACUUGUUCAACUUCCUGUUUACACAAACAACCAGCCAACCACGUGGCAGAAACUCACUGCUGAUCUAC
This is a long non-coding RNA of Melanotaenia boesemani (Boeseman's rainbowfish), 1022 nucleotides long. RefSeq lists it as uncharacterized. The transcript has 5 exons. Lineage: Eukaryota; Metazoa; Chordata; Actinopteri; Atheriniformes; Melanotaeniidae. The record is from RefSeq and is a predicted model, not a curated record.